RNAcentral lists this ribosomal RNA (253 nucleotides) under uncultured bacterium. RNAcentral describes it as "partial 16S ribosomal RNA". It matches the Rfam family "Bacterial small subunit ribosomal RNA", at positions 524 to 776 of the family's 1533-position model. The record is from RNAcentral.
UACAGAGGUCCCAAGCGUUGUUCGGAUUCAUUGGGCGUAAAGGGUGCGUAGGUGGCGGGGUAAGUUGGAUGUGAAAUCUCGGGGCUCAACCCCGAAACUGCAUUCAAUACUGCUCUGCUCGAGUACUGGAGAGGAGAUCGGAAUUUACGGUGUAGCAGUGAAAUGCGUAGAUAUCGUAAGGAAGACCAGUGGCGAAGGCGGGUCUCUGGACAGUUCCUGACGCUGAGGCACGAAGGUCAGGGGAGCAAACGGG